This 29-nucleotide non-coding RNA is filed under the name Mus musculus (house mouse). RNAcentral also lists the same sequence under 1 other name. Lineage: Eukaryota; Metazoa; Chordata; Mammalia; Rodentia; Muridae. The record is from RNAcentral.
UUGAGUUCAUGUGAUCUUAUGAUGAAUGC